UAAGACGGAGGAGGCAAGCGUUAUCCGGAAUUAUUGGGCGUAAAGCGUCCGUAGGUGGUGAAUCAAGUCUUUUGUUAAAUAGCUGAGCUUAACUCAGUGCGAGCGGAAGAAACUGAUUUACUUGAGUUUGGUAGGGGUAGAGGGAAUUCCAGGUGUAGCGGUGAAAUGCGUAGAUAUCUGGAAGAACACCAGUGGCGAAGGCGCUCUACUGGGCCAAAACUGACACUGAGGGACGAAAGCUAGGGGAGCGAAAGGG
Molecule: ribosomal RNA, 256 nt
Filed under: uncultured archaeon
Lineage: Archaea
Description: partial 16S ribosomal RNA
Rfam family: Bacterial small subunit ribosomal RNA
Source: RNAcentral